GAUGGCGCUUUCUAACUGCAGAUGACUUUGGAUCAAAAGUCAUUCUUGCUUGUGCUAGUGAGUUUUGCAUUAAGAUUGUUGACUCAAUAGUAUCGCAUGGAUGAAUUUCGUGGAAGGGCAGAGUGAAAAAUAGAAUCUUAGAAUUGGAUUUAUUUGGGUUUGAAGCAAACAUUUUUUUUUAUAUUUGACUAUGCAAUUCUUAACAAGAGAUUUACUAUGUUGAUAUUUUUAUAAAUAUAAUAUUUUAUUUUUCAGUUAA
This is a long non-coding RNA of Arachis duranensis, 259 nucleotides long. RefSeq lists it as uncharacterized. The transcript is spliced from 2 exons. The record is from RefSeq and is a predicted model, not a curated record. Lineage: Eukaryota; Viridiplantae; Streptophyta; Magnoliopsida; Fabales; Fabaceae.